This 432-nucleotide ribosomal RNA is filed under the name Ligilactobacillus ruminis. RNAcentral's name for it is "partial 23S ribosomal RNA". It matches the Rfam family "Bacterial large subunit ribosomal RNA", at positions 2141 to 2572 of the family's 2925-position model. Lineage: Bacteria; Bacillati; Bacillota; Bacilli; Lactobacillales; Lactobacillaceae. The record is from RNAcentral.
GGAUAGGUAGGAGCCUUUGAAACGUGAGCGCUAGCUUACGUGGAGGCGUUGGUGGGAUACUACCCUAGCUGUGUUGGCUUUCUAACCCGCACCACUUAUCGUGGUGGGAGACAGUGUCAGGCGGGCAGUUUGACUGGGGCGGUCGCCUCCUAAAAGGUAACGGAGGCGCUCAAAGGUUCCCUCAGAAUGGUUGGAAAUCAUUCAUAGAGUGUAAAGGCAUAAGGGAGCUUGACUGCGAGACCUACAAGUCGAGCAGGGUCGAAAGACGGACUUAGUGAUCCGGUGGUUCCGCAUGGAAGGGCCAUCGCUCAACGGAUAAAAGCUACCCCGGGGAUAACAGGCUUAUCUCCCCCAAGAGUUCACAUCGACGGGGAGGUUUGGCACCUCGAUGUCGGCUCAUCGCAUCCUGGGGCUGUAGUCGGUCCCAAGGGU